This 329-nucleotide ribosomal RNA is filed under the name uncultured bacterium. RNAcentral's name for it is "bacterial SSU rRNA". It matches the Rfam family "Bacterial small subunit ribosomal RNA", at positions 1 to 334 of the family's 1533-position model. The record is from RNAcentral.
GACGUGACUUCAGAGUUUGAUCCUGGCUCAGGACGAACGCUGGCGGCGCGCCUAAUACAUGCAAGUCGAACGGACAGGCCUUCGGGCUUGUUAGUGGCGGACGGGUGAGUAACACGUGGGCGACCUGCCUCUGAGUGGGGAAUAACGCCGGGAAACCGGCGCUAAUACCGCAUACGCUCGGCCCUGCAUUGGGCCGAGGAAAGCUUGAUGUGCUCAGAGAGGGGCCUGCGGCGGAUUAGCUAGUCGGUGGGGUCACGGCCUACCGAGGCGACGAUCCGUAGCUGGUCUGAGAGGAUGAUCAGCCACACUGGGACUGAGACACGGCCCAG